This 369-nucleotide ribosomal RNA is filed under the name uncultured bacterium. Its description in RNAcentral is "bacterial SSU rRNA". It matches the Rfam family "Bacterial small subunit ribosomal RNA", at positions 527 to 896 of the family's 1533-position model. The record is from RNAcentral.
GAAGGGGGCUAGCGUUGUUCGGAAUUACUGGGCGUAAAGCGCACGUAGGCGGUUUUCCAAGUUGGAGGUGAAAUCCCUGGGCUUAACCCAGGAACUGCCCCCAAGACUGGGAGACUCGAGUCCGAGAGAGGUGAGUGGAAUUUCCAGUGUAGAGGUGAAAUUCGUAGAUAUUGGAAAGAACACCAGAGGCGAAGGCGGCUCACUGGCUCGGUACUGACGCUGAGGUGCGACAGCGUGGGGAGCAAACAGGAUUAGAUACCCUGGUAGUCCACGCCGUAAACGAUGGGUGCUAGUUGUCAGGCAGCUUGCUGCUUGGUGACGCAGCUAACGCAUUAAGCACCCCGCCUGGGGAGUACGGUCGCAAGAUUC